RNAcentral lists this ribosomal RNA (465 nucleotides) under Vreelandella stevensii. RNAcentral describes it as "partial 16S ribosomal RNA". It matches the Rfam family "Bacterial small subunit ribosomal RNA", at positions 338 to 795 of the family's 1533-position model. Lineage: Bacteria; Pseudomonadati; Pseudomonadota; Gammaproteobacteria; Oceanospirillales; Halomonadaceae. The record is from RNAcentral.
CCUACGGGGGGCAGCAGUGGGGAAUAUUGGACAAUGGGCGAAAGCCUGAUCCAGCCAUGCCGCGUGUGUGAAGAAGGCCUUCGGGUUGUAAAGCACUUUCAGUGGGGAAGAAAGCCUUGGGGCUAAUACCCUCGAGGAAGGACAUCACCCACAGAAGAAGCACCGGCUAACUCCGUGCCAGCAGCCGCGGUAAUACGGAGGGUGCGAGCGUUAAUCGGAAUUACUGGGCGUAAAGCGCGCGUAGGCGGUCUGAUAAGCCGGUUGUGAAAGCCCCGGGCUCAACCUGGGAACGGCAUCCGGAACUGUCAGGCUAGAGUGCAGGAGAGGAAGGUAGAAUUCCCGGUGUAGCGGUGAAAUGCGUAGAGAUCGGGAGGAAUACCAGUGGCGAAGGCGGCCUUCUGGACUGACACUGACGCUGAGGUGCGAAAGCGUGGGUAGCGAACAGGAUUAGAUACCCGUGUAGUC